GGACAAAUUGAGAAAGUCGUAACAAGGUUGUCCGUAGGUGAACCUGCGGAAGGAUCAUUA
RNAcentral lists this ribosomal RNA (60 nucleotides) under fungal sp. 4.34.4D. RNAcentral describes it as "partial 18S ribosomal RNA". It matches the Rfam family "Eukaryotic small subunit ribosomal RNA", at positions 1773 to 1831 of the family's 1831-position model. Lineage: Eukaryota; Fungi. The record is from RNAcentral.